CAAAUCUGGAAUUCAUAUCCUCUGCAGCUAACUCGGGGGAUGAAUGGAAAAACGGGCCUUUGGCAUCACUCCCACCCCAAAGACUUCCAAACCAGCCUUCGGAGCGUGUUCCCAAGAGUGAGAAGACAGCAGGAAAGCGCAACACGUCCAUGCGUCUACAGGUGCGAGCCCCUCGUG
Molecule: long non-coding RNA, 177 nt
Organism: Lemur catta (Ring-tailed lemur)
Lineage: Eukaryota; Metazoa; Chordata; Mammalia; Primates; Lemuridae
Exons: 3
Source: RefSeq, a predicted model, not a curated record